GACGAACGCUGGCGGCGUGCUUAACACAUGCAAGUCGUACGGUAAGGCCCUUUCUGGGUUGCACGUUUGUCGAGCGGGGGAGUAACACGCGAGUAAACUGCCCCCCUUACUUGGCUAACGCAAGGCAACUGGUGCUAAUACUUGAUAUGUGUUCCUGCCGGAUGGCGGGGGUUGGUUAGCUACGGCGGUUGUGGGGGGACUGGCGGCCUAUCCGCUUGUUGGGGGGGUAGGUGCCGACCAAGGCGGCGACGGGUAGCCGGCGUGCGAGGGUGACCGGCCACAUUGGGACUGAGAUACGGCCCAGAAUCCGACGGGAGGCAGCAGUGGGGAAUGUUACACUAUGGGAGCGAGCCUGAUGCAGCGACGCCGCGUGCGGGAUGGCAGCCUUCUGGUUGUAGACCGCAUUCAGCAGGGACGAAGCUUGUUGUGACGGUACCUGCAGAAGAAGCACCGGCUAACUACGUG
This 465-nucleotide ribosomal RNA is filed under the name uncultured bacterium. Its description in RNAcentral is "partial 16S ribosomal RNA". It matches the Rfam family "Bacterial small subunit ribosomal RNA", at positions 28 to 507 of the family's 1533-position model. The record is from RNAcentral.